AUCGAACGCUGGCGGCAUGCCUAACACAUGCAAGUCGAACGGUAACAGGCCUUCGGGCGCUGACGAGUGGCGGACGGGUGAGUAAUACGUAGGAAUCUGCCUUAUAGUGGGGGAGUAACUUAGGGAAACUUAAGCUAAUACCGCAUACGCACUACGGUGGAAAGCAGGGGAGUCGCAAGACCUUGCGCUAUUAGAUGAGCCUACGUCGGAUUAGCUAGUUGGUAGGGUAAAGGCCUACCAAGGCAACGAUCCGUAGCUGGUCUGAGAGGACGACCAGCCACACUGGGGCUGAGACACGGCCCAGACUCCUACGGGAGGCAGCAGUGGGGAAGUAUUGGACAAUGGGCGCAAGCCUGAUCCAGCAAUGCCGCGUGUGUGAAGAAGG
This 385-nucleotide ribosomal RNA is filed under the name uncultured bacterium. Its description in RNAcentral is "bacterial SSU rRNA". It matches the Rfam family "Bacterial small subunit ribosomal RNA", at positions 30 to 414 of the family's 1533-position model. The record is from RNAcentral.